UUACCUUUAUUUUAAACAGCUCUCCUUUUUGGAUUAAUAAUAACUGACAUUUAGAAAGCAUUUGAAAGUUUACAAAACAUUUUUCAUAUAUUGUUUCAUUUUAGCCUCAACAUAAACCUGAGAGAGUUAUGAUAAGUAAUAUCAGUCUUAUUUUACAGGUGAAGAAACUUGGACCGAAAAAGUCAUCCAUGGUUAUCCAGCUGGUAAGACAGACAGAAAAAUAAAUGUCUAUCCAUGAGGAACAGAAGAGAAGCUGUGAAGUACACAGGAAAAUUACAAGGUAGAAUAAGUAGAGGUAAUCUUCUCUUCUUCCUGACUGCCACCUUGGAGAAUCCUUCAUUGCCUUCAUGAAGAAUAACCACAAAGACUAAGACCUUGUCAAUGAAGUCUUUCCUGAUGCCUCUUUUUCCCACAGAGCAUCAGAAUUAAACAAUGAGUUUGAAAAGGCCUUGAAAAAAAGAAGGGUGUUAUCAAAAUAGAAGGGAUAUUUUAAAAAACUUAACCAGUAACCAAGACACAAUAUAAUGCAUGCUAUUAAAAAGAAUAAAUUAUUUUCUCUGCAUUUCAAGUUCUACUGUUUUGAUCAGCAUGGUGAUUAUGACAUCCAUGAGGACAAAGACAGUCCAAGUCUGAACACUGACAUCUUCCACUGGUCUCCCAUGUCAUAUUUGGAACUAUGGUAUGACCACACAGUUGGUUUCCUGCUCCCCCCCCUUCUUCCAGCCCCACCUCCUCUCUCCUCAGAAACCCUUAGCAGUAGUAAAAUAAGUCAAAUCAACAUUCCUCACUACUCACCCAGUGGAAAUCAUGCUGGCCUUGUGAGGAGUCAGGGGAAUGAGCCCUGGUUCACCAGCGGUCGACGUCAACCCGAUGGCUACCCUCACAAGGUUUAGCCGGCCUGUCGAAGCCGUUGCCUGGGUUGUGGCAGCUGCUGCAUGCUAGCAGCUACUAGGAGCCAGAAGUGAGAGCUGGGCAUCAGGUGAGGGUCAGAGGCUGGAGAGCUGCCCUAGGAGGGCAGGACAAGCCCUCUAUACCAGAGAUACUACUCCUCCCUGAACACCCCAUACACCCCUAGGAAGACAAUAUAGUUCUUAAAAAGUGCUAGAUUUCUAAUUAGGAGUUAAGAGCCUAGAUCUCAAAUUCCAGCAUUCACACUUACAUGUUGGGAGUGUCUACUUGGCCUCAGAGAAUAGAAGUAGGAACAGUGGGUAACAGUUACAGAUUUUGGCUUCAUACAUGGAAAAACUAUCUGACAACUGGAGCUACUGAAAAAUAGAUUGAACUGCCCCAAGAGGUAGAGAGCUCAAU
RNAcentral lists this long non-coding RNA (1308 nucleotides) under Monodelphis domestica (gray short-tailed opossum). Its description in RNAcentral is "lncRNA (ENSMODG00000050134.1)". The record is from RNAcentral. Lineage: Eukaryota; Metazoa; Chordata; Mammalia; Didelphimorphia; Didelphidae.